UUUUAGAGGAAAAAAUCAACAACUUGCUUCAAAGAAAAAAGCUUCGAAUUGCUUUAGGUAAACUUCCUCAAUUAUUCUUUAACUACCCAUGUUCCUUGUAACAAAAAAAGGUACCUAAACUACCACAAAGAAGAAAAAUAAAAGACUUUCUAUAUCUUAAUAUAUAGAAUAGCUCUUGUUUUAAAUGCAUAACACCAUGGUACAAUUUUAUUAAGAAUAUAUCUACUUAGAAUUUAAUCUCAUACACUAUCCUUUGUACUAGAAACCUUGUUAUCUUGAUCCUCUUGGUCAUUCGUAACAGAAAUUUCUUCAGUAGAAUUAGGCUCCUUUUUUAACUCGGUCUCAAACUCCUUUGCUGCCUACAAAGGUUUCAAAACAAACAAUAAAGAUUUGCUUCAACUGAAUUAUUAAAAACUCAUUCAAAUAGGCAUAUUCAAGCACAAGGUGUGUAACUAGGUUGCAGAUAGAUAUACAAGUUACAAAAUUUAAUGCGAUUAUUUUAAAAAAUAUGAUCAGCUAAAUAGAUAAGAAAUUGUAAAUGUAACUUAUCCUAAGAAUGAGAAAAUGGAACCUGUUGGAAGCUUUUGACGGUUUUGCCGAUGCUGCGACCAACUUCAGGCAAUUUCUUGGGACCGAAAACAAGAGCAGCAACUCCGGCAAUAACAACAAGCUCGGGCACGCCUAAUCCAAAGAAGGCGUUGCAAGUAAAACGCUUUGUGCUUCUGGUUCUGGUUCUGGCUUUCUUCAAGAGAAGUGAUGUAGUGUUAGAAUUGGAAGCUGAGAAGGAUAAGUUGGAAUAGGAUGAAGAGAUUGGAAGCCUAGUCCUAGGGAGAAUCGAAGAAGAAGAAGAAAGGGAAAGUGUUGUCUCCAUUUUUGGUUUGAUUCUAUUUGCUUGUUUCUGCUAAAUGAGUGGAUAACAAUUAUCAAUGCCGAUGGGAAACACGAUUAGUUUGCGGAUUGGGUGGGACUGUGUCUAGAGUUUUCAAUGGCUCACCCAAUAUUUUUAUGAUUACGUACAACAUAUUUUUGACAACUAGGAUAUUUUUCAAUUUUAUUUGUUGAGUCC
This 1066-nucleotide long non-coding RNA is filed under the name Medicago truncatula (barrel medic). Its description in RNAcentral is "lncRNA gene4619". The record is from RNAcentral. Lineage: Eukaryota; Viridiplantae; Streptophyta; Magnoliopsida; Fabales; Fabaceae.